This 70-nucleotide transfer RNA is filed under the name Anatkina vespertinula. RNAcentral describes it as "tRNA-Lys". Lineage: Eukaryota; Metazoa; Arthropoda; Insecta; Hemiptera; Cicadellidae. The record is from RNAcentral.
CAGUAAGUAACUUAAAAUAAGUAUUGAUCUCUUAAAUCAAAUUAUAGUAAUUAAUGACUACUUUUACUGA